This 494-nucleotide ribosomal RNA is filed under the name uncultured bacterium. RNAcentral's name for it is "partial 16S ribosomal RNA". It matches the Rfam family "Bacterial small subunit ribosomal RNA", at positions 28 to 506 of the family's 1533-position model. The record is from RNAcentral.
GACGAACGCUGGCGGCGUGCCUAAUACAUGCAAGUAGAACGCUGAAGGAGGAGCUUGCUUCUCUGGAUGAGUUGCGAACGGGUGAGUAACGCGUAGGUAACCUGCCUGGUAGCGGGGGAUAACUAUUGGAAACGAUAGCUAAUACCGCAUAAGAGUAGAUGUUGCAUGACAUUUGCUUAAAAGGUGCAAUUGCAUCACUACCAGAUGGACCUGCGUUGUAUUAGCUAGUUGGUGAGGUAACGGCUCACCAAGGCAACGAUACACAGCCGACCUGAGAGGGUGAUCGGCCACACUGGGACUGAGACACGGCCCAGACUCCUACGGGAGGCAGCAGUAGGGAAUCUUCGGCAAUGGACGGAAGUCUGACCGAGCAACGCCGCGUGAGUGAAGAAGGUUUUCGGAUCGUAAAGCUCUGUUGUAAGAGAAGAACGAGUGUGAGAGUGGAAAGUUCACACUGUGACGGUAUCUUACCAGAAAGGGACGGCUAACUACGU